Molecule: ribosomal RNA, 245 nt
Filed under: uncultured bacterium
Lineage: Bacteria
Description: partial 16S ribosomal RNA
Rfam family: Bacterial small subunit ribosomal RNA
Source: RNAcentral
UACAGAGGGUGCGAGCGUUGUCCGGAAUCACUGGGCGUAAAGGGCGCGUAGGCGGUCUGCUAAGCGUGUGGUGAAAGCCCGGGGCUCAACCCCGGGUCGGCCAUGCGAACUGGUGGACUGGAGCCUGUCAGAGGCAAGCGGAAUUCCGGGUGUAGCGGUGGAAUGCGUAGAGAUCCGGAAGAACACCGGUGGCGAAGGCGGCUUGCUGGGACAGUGCUGACGCUGAGGCGCGACAGCGUGGGGAG